GGUUGCUUGGUUGCUUGGUUUGGCUUGUUUCUUUCAGGUUUUGUCAAUCUGACACAAACUGGAGACAUCUGGGGAGAUGGAAUAUCAGCUGAGGAAUUCCUUUAGAAGACUGGCCUAUAGACAAGACUGUAAGGCAUUUUCUCGACUAAUGAUUUGUGUGGGAGAAACCAACCUAAGCCUACUGAUGUAGCUUUCAGCUACAGCUAUAGCACAAUGCUCCCUGUCAUGGUGAUAAUGAACUAAGCCUCUGAAAAUGUGGGUGACUAUACAGCCACUGUUCUGGACCUGUGCUCCUGUCAGUGUUCCUUAUCCAUGCUGGCCACAUUUCAAGUACUUAGUGGCUAUGUGGCUGUGAGUUAGCAGACUCAGAGCCCGGCCUUCACUUCGGACAGUGCUAGUGGUCAAGCUGCGAUAGGUUGCUAAAUGAAAGCAAAACACCAGUGAAGGCGAGUGGAGUCCAUGCAGGUCCCUGGAGCUGAGGGGUAGGCACCUCUUUCACUGUCGCCAUUCAGCAGCUGAAGAGAAUGUGACCGGCACCUGUGGCAUGUGCCCUACUUCCUCUCCCACCCAACACAAAUGACAAAACAUGCAGCAGCACCCUACAGGUGCCAGUAGCACCCUGCUCCGAGCUAUGAUGACCGAAAAUGCUUCACCCCCACGGGACACAAUUUUCCAGAAGAAACGCCCUGAUGCAAUGUGAAGGAAGGAGAGGCAAGCUCUUACAAGUGCCAGCUCUAAACAGACAUCAUGGUUGCUUGAUCCUUGAGACACUCUUCUGGGGUUGCUGUCAUUUUCCCUUUACGGAGGAAAGCUGAGCUUCAGACAUGUUAAGUCAUCACCCAAGGUUGCUGAGCUCUUACACUGCAGAGCCAGCAGCCCAUCUAGGCUGCUCACUCUCCCCAGCCCUCCACACACAACCCCCCUCCUUUAAUGCAAGGGUCCACACCCAAGCUCAGGAUCUCCCAAAAGUUCCACUGGGGACCAACUGCUGUCUCCUACCGUGCUAUAGAUAGCCUCUGGCCUAACCUAAAAUGGAAGAUGUUUACCAGACAGAAUGGGGAUGGGAAAAUCUCAGGCUGUGAUGUCAUGUCGAAAGCAACUGACCCUGAGUCAAGGCCACUCUGAUUGACCACCACCUGCAGCUGCUCUUAGGCUGGGGCUCAUCUCCACUUUCCUGGGGCCACCAGCAUCUGACCAUCUGCUCUCCCAAAGACCUAACUGUCACCUCCCUACUAGCCACUCAGAGUCCCUCUGUUGGCAAGAUCCUGAACUGAGCAGUGACAGGUGUGUGGUUGGUGCCAUCUCAGAACAGAGCCCGCACCUCUACAAAAUAGCUAGUGGAGGGCACACACUCCUCCUGAGUAAAAAUCCAGAAAAAAAAUUUGGAAAAGGUUUGAAAUUAUUUUCUCUAAAUCUCUAAAAAAGAAAAAGAUGGUUUUCCCCAUAUUGCUCUUUUUAAAUAUUACAUAAUUUAAUCUAAAAUUUAUCUUGAGAUUGCAUCAAAAUAUAUGAGUAUAGUGAAUAGCUGUUCAUUGUUUGCCAGAAGAUAGAAGCAUAAUUUAUAAAACA
This is a long non-coding RNA of Mesocricetus auratus (golden hamster), 1569 nucleotides long. RefSeq lists it as uncharacterized. The transcript is spliced from 3 exons. NCBI's taxonomy places the organism in Eukaryota, Metazoa, Chordata, Mammalia, Rodentia, Cricetidae. The record is from RefSeq and is a predicted model, not a curated record.